RNAcentral lists this ribosomal RNA (468 nucleotides) under uncultured bacterium. Its description in RNAcentral is "partial 16S ribosomal RNA". It matches the Rfam family "Bacterial small subunit ribosomal RNA", at positions 28 to 507 of the family's 1533-position model. The record is from RNAcentral.
GACGAACGCUGGCGGCGUGCUUAACACAUGCAAGUCGAACGGAAAGGCCCUGCUUUUGUGGGGUGCUCGAGUGGCGAACGGGGGAGUAACACGUGAGUAACCUGCCCUUGACUUUGUGAUAACUUCAGGAAACUGGGGAUAAUACCGGAUAGGAGCUCCUGCUGCAUGGUGGGGGUUGGAAAGUUUCGGCGGUUGGGGAUGGUCUGGCGGGUUAUGAGCUUGUUAGUGGGGUAGUGGCUUACCAAGGCUUUGACGGAUAGCCGGCCUGAGAGGGUGACCGGGCUCAAUGGGACUGCGAUACGCCGCAGACUGCAACGGGAGGCAGCGGGCGGGAGUAUUGCACAGUGAGCCGAAGCCUGAUGCAAAAGCGCCGCGUGCGGGAUGACGGCCUACGGGUUGUAAACCGCUUUCGCCUGUAACGAGGCGGGAGUGACGGUAACGGAUAAAGAAGCACCGGCUAACUACGUG